RNAcentral lists this non-coding RNA (29 nucleotides) under Rattus norvegicus (Norway rat). Lineage: Eukaryota; Metazoa; Chordata; Mammalia; Rodentia; Muridae. The record is from RNAcentral.
UGAUGGGCUGAAUAAUUUUGAAGCUCAAU